UCAUUUGUGGCCGAUGGUUAAGGCGUCUGACUCGAAAUCAGAUGGGCUAUUCCCGCGCAGUUCGAAUCCCUGCCAACUGCG
Molecule: non-coding RNA, 81 nt
Organism: Caligus rogercresseyi
Lineage: Eukaryota; Metazoa; Arthropoda; Copepoda; Siphonostomatoida; Caligidae
Source: the annotation of a GenBank genome assembly